Molecule: ribosomal RNA, 655 nt
Filed under: Cortinarius cinereobrunneus
Lineage: Eukaryota; Fungi; Basidiomycota; Agaricomycetes; Agaricales; Cortinariaceae
Description: LSU rRNA
Rfam family: Eukaryotic large subunit ribosomal RNA
Source: RNAcentral
AAUAAGCGGUAGGAAAAGAACUAACAAGGAUUCCCCUAGUAACUGCGAGUGAAGCGGGAAAAGCUCAAAUUUAAAAUCUGGCGGUCUUUGGCUGUCCGAGUUGUAAACUAGAGAAGUGUUAUCCGCGCUGGACCGUGUACAAGUCUCCUGGAAUGGAGCGUCAUAGAGGGUGAGAAUCCCGUCUUUGACACGGACUACCAGGGCUUUGUGAUAUGCUCUCAAAGAGUCGAGUUGUUUGGGAAUGCAGCUCAAAAUGGGUGGUAAAUUCCAUCUAAAGCUAAAUAUUGGCGAGAGACCGAUAGCGAACAAGUACCGUGAGGGAAAGAUGAAAAGAACUUUGGAAAGAGAGUUAAACAGUACGUGAAAUUGCUGAAAGGGAAACGCUUGAAGUCAGUCGCGUUGUCCAGGGAUCAACCUUGCUUUUGCUUGGUGUACUUUCUGGUUGACGGGUCAGCAUCAAUUUUGACUAUUGGAAAAAGAUUAGGGGAAUGUGGCAUCUUCGGAUGUGUUAUAGCCCUUGGUUGCAUACAAUGGUUGGGAUUGAGGAACUCAGCACGCCGCAAGGCCGGGUUUUUACCACGUACGUGCUUAGGAUGCUGGCAUAAUGGCUUUAAUCGACCCGUCUUGAAACACGGACCAAGGAGUCUAACAUGCC